Molecule: long non-coding RNA, 540 nt
Organism: Gasterosteus aculeatus aculeatus (three-spined stickleback)
Lineage: Eukaryota; Metazoa; Chordata; Actinopteri; Perciformes; Gasterosteidae
Source: Ensembl
CACGUUUCUGCGAGUGUGGACUUCUGUUUCACUAUAUGUCCCCACACACACACACACACACCCAACCCCUCUCCUCUAAUCGCCUUAUGCUUUCACUUUUCCUCCCAGGAAGUGAUUUACUGUCAAACACAUUCCAACAGCCAGCCAGCUACAGACACUGAGCUAUCCCAACACACCGGGGCUUUUUGGAUUUCCACAUCUUUUCUUCGGUGCAUUGAUUGGGAUGCUGGGUAAUUGACGACGAAAAAAAAUGUACAUUUGAAGUGCAACUUCCACAUGUCCUCACUCACUCUUUUCUUCGUCCCCUCUUUGUCCCGACGUGUUUUUCCUCCUCUUCCCUCCUGCCUCUGCAUCCGAGUUGGAAACAUCCUGCAUAUCGACAAAGACACAGCUGGUGUGGGUCUGCACGCGGCCCGGCUGAUCCAGCUUUAUUUCUGCCCCUCUCCUCGUGACGCAGCCGAGCUCUGGAGCAGAUGGCUGCAGUGUUCAAUUGAAUUCUGCCAUUGUGCCGCUCGUAAUUGGUGCUCGCGAGCAAGUGCC